This 74-nucleotide transfer RNA is filed under the name Trichomalopsis sarcophagae. RNAcentral's name for it is "tRNA-OTHER". The record is from RNAcentral. Lineage: Eukaryota; Metazoa; Arthropoda; Insecta; Hymenoptera; Pteromalidae.
UUGUCGUGGCUCAGACGGUAGAGUAAGAGACUUCGGACCUAAAGGUGGCGGGUUCAAGUCCUGUGUUCGCCAAA